CUAGUCGGGGUGUCUUCUAGAAAUGAGGCAUCAGGGACCGUUGGGCCGAUUGUUGCCCAAAAGAAACCUCAAUUCUAUUCCUUUCUUUUUGUAUUCUUCAGUCGAUUGGUAUUGGCUGGCGGUGGCACGGGAGAUGGAUUUGAAAAGGUUGAUGAGGUUUGGUGAAUUGUUUGUGAAUGUUUGCAUGCAAGGUAGUUUGAUUUCAAAACCUUUUUCUUGUUAGAGUAGCAUUAGCUAAAGAAGAUUUGAAAUUUUGAGAUGGGGAUUUCGUGAGGGGGACAUUAAAGGAUGACUGUAGCAAAUUUUCGAGCUAAAAUUGUUAAGCUCUAUUCUUUUCAACAAAAAAGUUUAAUUAUUAAUUCAUUUGCAAGUAUCAAUACAUUUGCAUCACUAUAGUCACGUAUGACUACUGCAUAGUUGAAUCUCAAACUUCAAAUCCUACACUACAAAUAUCACUAUAUUUUUGAGCAAAUUAAUGAAACCUAUUAUAUUAUUUUAUUGAUAAAUAAAAUAAAGUACAAAUUGAAGCAAAGAAAUGAGAAAGCAAAAAAAAGAAAGGAAAGAGCAAAGAUAAACAGAGGAGACGAAUGGGGGACAUGGGAUGUCCAAGCCCAAGAAACCAUACAAUCCAAUUCCGGUCCAAUAAAUAAAUCUAAUCCAGCACAAUUCCAGUUUAAACAGAGCAUUGACACAACAACUAGCCCAACCUAAAUGGCCUACUGCAUUCUUUUUCCCCAUAAUUUCUGACAAAAAUAUGUCGGUUCUCAUAUUUUCUUUGUAAAUGUAAGUGUCUAUUUACAAGUAUAUCGCUUUGUGGGAAACACAAAUCUUAUGAUUGACAGGUGCCUAUUGUGCCAGAUUAACAAGAUAUUAUUACCUACACUGUAUGCACUACGGCGCGCAGGCAGCUAAUCACGGUCGUUGAUUUCUAUGGGCUUUAUACAUCGAAUACGCCCAUCAUCAUAAGAACUAGCGAUUGUGAUUAGCUGCAAGCAUGGCCAUAUUAGGCAAUAAUUUUUCCGGAUUGACCAGGCCAAUAAAAUGCUCGAGUAUAAAUUAAUUGUUUUGACAACUCAGUCAAGAUAAUUGUACAAUUUCUAAUAAUAAAAGCAUGAAGGGAUCUCUCCGUUGGUUGAUAUAAAUCUACUGCAUAAAGAAUCAAGUUCUGCUAAAACUCUUGAACC
Molecule: long non-coding RNA, 1184 nt
Filed under: Phoenix dactylifera (date palm)
Lineage: Eukaryota; Viridiplantae; Streptophyta; Magnoliopsida; Arecales; Arecaceae
Description: long non-coding RNA (PDAC_LNC013512)
Source: RNAcentral